AGGGGUUUGAUCAUGGCUCAGAAUCAACGCUGGCGGCGUGCCUAACACAUGCAAGUCGAGCGCGAACGGGAGCUUCGGUUCCCUAGUAGAGCGGCGGACGGGUGAGUAACACGUGGGUAACCUACCCUCAGGUGGGGUAUAACCCAGGGAAACCUGGGCUAAUUCCGCAUAAUAUUUCGAGUCUCUUGGGACGCGAAAUCAAAGCUGGGGAUCCUUCGGGACCUAGCGCCAGGGGAGGGGCCCGCGCCCGAUUAGCUAGUUGGUGAGGUAAUGGCUCACCAAGGCUUCGAUCGGUAGCCGGCCUGAGAGGGCGGACGGCCACACUGGGACUGAGACACGGCCCAGACUCCUACGGGAGGCAGCAGUGGGGAAUUUUUGUCAAUGGGGGAAACCCUGAACAAGCAACGCCGCGUGGAGGACGAAGACCUUCGGGUCGUAAACUCCUGUCGGAGGGGACGAACGCGGUCGAAGCCAAUACCUUCGAUCGUUGACGGUACCUUACGAGGAAGCCCCGGCUAACUCCGUGCCAGCAGCCGCGGUAAUACGGGGGGGGCAAGCGUUGUUCGGAAUUACUGGGCGUAAAGGGCGCGUAGGCGGUCCGGCAAGUCUCUCGUGAAAUCCCACGGCUCAACUGUGGAACUGCGGGGGAAACUUCCNGGACUUGAGUCCGGGAGAGGGGAGUGGAAUUCCCAGUGUAGCGGUGAAAUGCGUAGAUUUGGGAGGAACACCGGUGGCGAAGCGGCUCC
This 746-nucleotide ribosomal RNA is filed under the name uncultured Acidobacterium sp. RNAcentral's name for it is "bacterial SSU rRNA". It matches the Rfam family "Bacterial small subunit ribosomal RNA", at positions 1 to 728 of the family's 1533-position model. Lineage: Bacteria; Pseudomonadati; Acidobacteriota; Terriglobia; Terriglobales; Acidobacteriaceae. The record is from RNAcentral.